GGGGGUGCAGCCCAGGGGUAGAGCACAUGUUUGGCAUUUGUGAGGUCCUGGGUUUAAUCCCUAGCACCCCCC
This 72-nucleotide transfer RNA is filed under the name Rattus norvegicus (Norway rat). It matches the Rfam family "tRNA". Rfam says of the family: Transfer RNA (tRNA) molecules are approximately 80 nucleotides in length. Their secondary structure includes four short double-helical elements and three loops (D, anti-codon, and T loops). Further hydrogen bonds mediate the characteristic L-shaped molecular structure. tRNAs have two regions of fundamental functional importance: the anti-codon, which is responsible for specific mRNA codon recognition, and the 3' end, to which the tRNAs corresponding amino acid is attached (by aminoacyl-tRNA synthetases). tRNAs cope with the degeneracy of the genetic code in two manners: having more than one tRNA (with a specific anti-codon) for a particular amino acid; and 'wobble' base-pairing, i.e. permitting non-standard base-pairing at the 3rd anti-codon position. The record is from Rfam by way of RNAcentral. Lineage: Eukaryota; Metazoa; Chordata; Mammalia; Rodentia; Muridae.